RNAcentral lists this ribosomal RNA (545 nucleotides) under uncultured beta proteobacterium. Its description in RNAcentral is "partial 16S ribosomal RNA". The record is from RNAcentral. Lineage: Bacteria; Pseudomonadati; Pseudomonadota; Betaproteobacteria.
UCCAGGCGGCCACUUCACGCGUUAGCUACGGUACUAAGGAAGUCUCCUUCCCCAACACCUAGUUGGCAUCGUUUAGGGCGUGGACUACCAGGGUAUCUAAUCCUGUUUGCUACCCACGCUUUCGUGCAUGAGCGUCAGUGUUGACCCAGGGGGCUGCCUUCGCCAUCGGUGUUCCUCCACAUCUCUACGCAUUUCACUGCUACACGUGGAAUUCCACCCCCCUCUGCCACACUCAAGCCUUGCAGUCACAAGCGCAGUUCCCAGGUUAAGCCCGGGGAUUUCACAUCUGUCUUACAAAACCGCCUGCGCACGCUUUACGCCCAGUAAUUCCGAUUAACGCUCGCACCCUACGUAUUACCGCGGCUGCUGGCACGUAGUUAGCCGGUGCUUCUUCUUCAGGUACCGUCAUUGAUNANAGGUAUUAGCCUCCACCGUUUCGUUCCUGCCGAAAGAGCUUUACAACCCGAAGGCCUUCUUCACUCACGCGGAAUGGCUGGAUCAGGGUUGCCCCCAUUGUCCAAAAUUCCCCACUGCUGCCUCCCGUA